UUUGUUAAAGUGUAGUGCACUUAAAAAUUUGAUUUUUAAAGAGAUUAAAUAUCUAACAAUUU
RNAcentral lists this transfer RNA (62 nucleotides) under Cyclosa argenteoalba. Its description in RNAcentral is "tRNA-Gln". The record is from RNAcentral. Lineage: Eukaryota; Metazoa; Arthropoda; Arachnida; Araneae; Araneidae.